Long non-coding RNA from Neoarius graeffei (lesser salmon catfish), 1348 nucleotides. RefSeq lists it as uncharacterized. The transcript is spliced from 2 exons. NCBI's taxonomy places the organism in Eukaryota, Metazoa, Chordata, Actinopteri, Siluriformes, Ariidae. The record is from RefSeq and is a predicted model, not a curated record.
GAUAAAGCGGCUAGAGAUAAUGAGAUGAGAUGAAUAGUAUAAAAAAGUAAUAAAAUAAAUAAAAAAGGAAAAAACACAGGCCAUGUAUGUACACAACAAAAUAAGAAAGGAACUUAAGAGUAUUACUUCACCUGAAGUAGUAAUAUUGCACUAAUUAAAUACUGGCAACUAAAAUAGAAAUAAGGGCAGCACGGUGGUGCAGUGGUUAGCGCUGUUGCCUCAUAGCAAGAAGGUCCGGGUUCGAGCCCCGUGGCCGGCGAGGGCCUUUCUGUGCGGAGUUUGCAUGUUCUCCCCGUGGGUUUCCUCCGGGUGCUCCGGUUUCCCCCACAGUCCAAAGACAUGCAGGUUAGGUUAACUGGUGACUCUAAAUUGACCGUAGGUGUGAAUGUGAGUGUGAACGGUUGUCUAUGUGUCAGCCCUGUGAUGACCUGGCGACCUGUCCAGGGUGUACCCCGCCUUUCGCCCGUAGUCAGCUGGGAUAGGCUCCAGCUUGCCUGCGACCCUGUAGAACAGGAUAAAGCGGCUAGAGAUAAUGAGAUGAGAAAAUAGAAAUACAAAUCUUGCACUAGGUAGUGAAUGUUAUUGCACAGCAUAAUAUAACUAACGAGGAUUUAUUUAUGAUGAGGUCAUGUCAUGAGUGAAAGUAAGAGUUCCUCUCACAUGCUUAAAACAGGAUAUACCUGUAAAUACAGGAAAAACCUGUAAGUAACUGCUGGCAUCGCCCAUAUCAGAUACAAGGUUUACUAUAUAAAGAUCACUGGCCAAAAGGAAAAUUUAUCAUAUAUGGGAUUUAGAAAAUUACUACCUUGUGUUUUUACAAAAAAAAAAAAAGAAAAACAAAACUGAAAAGCUUAGACAGGUCACACACACACAUCACCCUAAUAAAGUGUCUUCAUACUAAACUGGGCCACCACAAGCUGUUAAUUGCUUCAACACACCUUGACAUGGACUCUCCAAUUCUCUGGAACUGUAUUACAGAGAUAAACAGUCUUUCAUAAGGUGUUCAACUGGGUUGAGAUCUUGUGACUGAAGGCUAUAGCAUGUAAUUUACAUGAUUACUCAUCUAAUUAUUCAGAGCUCUUGUGCCCUGUGGAUGAGUACGUCACCCUGGAAGAGACUGCUCCCAUCAUGACGAAAAAGCUUCAUGAUGGCAUAAAGAUGUUAUUGCAGAUCGGAUAAAAGUCAAGUCAACACAAAAGCAGACUUUGGCAGCCAGGAAGAAUCCAUUAUUUGUCAAGAAUGAGCACCAGCCUCAACAUAUACAACAGCAGAAGAUUUAAGUAUUAUAUAAUCAUUAUGCAUAUGAACAUUAUAGUAUAUUUAAGCAUUAAACAAAAUUACACAAUAA